GGUACAUCGGUGACAGGUGGUGCAUGGUUGUCGUCAGCUCGUGUCGUGAGAUGUUGGGUUAAGUCCCGCAACGAGCGCAACCCCUAUUGUUAGUUGCCAUCAUUCAGUUGGGCACUCUAGCGAGACUGCCGGUAAUAAACCGGAGAAGUGGGGAUGACGUCAAAUCGUCAUGCCCCUUAUGACCUGGGCUACACACGUGCUACAAUGGUUGGUACAACGAGUUGCGAGUCGGUGACGGCGAGCUAAUCUCUUAAAGCCAAUCUCAGUUCGGAUUGUAGGCUGCAACUCGCCUACAUGAAGUCGGAAUCGCUAGUAAUCGCGGAUCAGCACGCCGCGGUGAAUACGUUCCCGGGCCUU
Molecule: ribosomal RNA, 357 nt
Filed under: uncultured Streptococcus sp.
Lineage: Bacteria; Bacillati; Bacillota; Bacilli; Lactobacillales; Streptococcaceae
Description: bacterial SSU rRNA
Rfam family: Bacterial small subunit ribosomal RNA
Source: RNAcentral